GGGGUUAAUUUAAUAAAUAAUAAAUAUGAAAAAAAAUUUUAAUAUAAUAUAUUUAAUGGGGGUUAAAGUAUUUUUAUAGAAAAAAUUUAAAAAUUUAUAGUGAAAUAGUAUUGUGAAAGAAAAAUUGAAAAUAUUGAAAUAAAAAUUUAUUUAAAAGUAAAUUUUAUUUAUUGGAUCUUGUGUAUCAGAGUUUUUUAAAAAAAAAAAAAUUGGGUAAAUUUAUUUCGAAAUUUAAAGAGUUAAUUAAUUAAAAAAGUUAAUAUUGCAUAAUUAUUUUAAAUAAUUAAUUGGAAAUGAAAAGUUAAUCGUUUUGAAUGAUAUCUAAUUUUUUUAGAAAAAAGUUUAAUUUUAAAUAAAUUUUAAAAAUAAUUAAUUAAUUAAUUAUUUUUAAAAUUUAAUUUUAUAUUUUAGGGGAUAAGCUUUAAAUUAGAAUUUUAUAAUAAAAGUAAAAAAAAAUUGAAAUUUUUAAAAUUUAUAUUUUUUAUAAAUUAUAGUUUAUUAUCAAUAAUUUCAUUUAAUUAAAAUUUUAUUUUAAUUAAAAUUUUUAUAAAAAAAUAUUUUUUAAUUUAAUAAAAAUAGGUAUAAUGAUAAAAUUAGUAUAUAAUUUAUAAAUAAAAUAAAAAUUAUUUAAAUUAAUAAAAAGGAAUUCGGCAAAAAU
This 658-nucleotide ribosomal RNA is filed under the name Pieris oleracea angelika. RNAcentral's name for it is "partial 16S ribosomal RNA". The record is from RNAcentral. Lineage: Eukaryota; Metazoa; Arthropoda; Insecta; Lepidoptera; Pieridae.